Long non-coding RNA from Pangasianodon hypophthalmus (striped catfish), 605 nucleotides. RefSeq lists it as uncharacterized. Lineage: Eukaryota; Metazoa; Chordata; Actinopteri; Siluriformes; Pangasiidae. The record is from RefSeq and is a predicted model, not a curated record. The transcript has 3 exons.
GUUUCUGAGAAGGCCUCAUGACUUGUAUAUCAGCCUAUAUCUCAGACUUCCCAAAGUAAUGGGGCUGAAAUUUGAAAAAAAAAAAAAAAAAAGCUAAUAAAUAACCAGUGUCAAACUGCAGUUGGAUAUGAAAGCAAAGGAGAAACAGAGCUUGUCGAGUUUCACCUGCUACUCAGUAUUCAUGGGAUGACAGCAGAAAGUGCCCACAGGAUGGAAGGCAGAGACGGAAAUGAUGCCUCAUUACAAAGACAUGGGCUUGCAUCUGACAAUAUACCCGGUGUGUCAAUGAUGCUAAUGCUCUGCAGGACUUGGUUGGGGACCUGAGAGCAGAUGAACCUGGUGGUACAUGAAGAGAAAAUGUACUGAGCGUUACCAAAGCAAACACAGGUGUUUCCACCACAACUCUUUGUUGACUGCAUAUCGUCUGUCUGAGGCACUGGGUAGUGAAACAGCUGAUGCAAACCAUCCACCCUCAUUUUCUUACUUUCCCCUUAUUUACCUUACCAAAUGCUAGGCCUUUGCCAAACCCUAUUCAUUGGUGUCUGCUUCUUACUGAAAUGUUUACAAUAUCAGAGGGACUAAAAUAAAAGUUAGAUUUAUGGUUA